GUUUAGGAGGUGUUAUCACACCAGCUUUUCGUGCUGGAGUAGGAGUUUCGACUCCCCCAAAUA
RNAcentral lists this transfer RNA (63 nucleotides) under Physidae sp. PE4. RNAcentral's name for it is "tRNA-Glu". RNAcentral also lists the same sequence under 1 other name. Lineage: Eukaryota; Metazoa; Mollusca; Gastropoda; Physidae. The record is from RNAcentral.